AGUCGAGCGAACGGACGAGAAGCUUGCUUCUCUGAUGUUAGCGGCGGACGGGUGAGUAACACGUGGAUAACCUACCUAUAAGACUGGGAUAACUUCGGGAAACCGGAGCUAAUACCGGAUAACAUUUUGAACCGCAUGGUUCAAAAGUGAAAGACGGUCUUGCUGUCACUUAUAGAUGGGUCCGCGCCGCAUUAGCUAGUUGGUAAGGUAACGGCUUACCAAGGCGACGAUGCGUAGCCGACCUGAGAGGGUGAUCGGCCACACUGGAACUGAGACACGGUCCAGACUCCUACGGGAGGCAGCAGUAGGGAAUCUUCCGCAAUGGGCGAAAGCCUGACGGAGCAACGCCGCGUGAGUGAUGAAGGUCUUCGGAUCGUAAAACUCUGUUAUUAGGGAAGAACAAAUGUGUAAGUAACUAUGCACGUCUUGACGGUACCUAAUCAGAAAGCCACGGCUAACUACGUGCCAGCAGCCGCGGUAAUACGUAGGUGGCAAGCGUUAUCCGGAAUUAUUGGGCGUAAAGCGCGCGUAGGCGGUUUUUUAAGUCUGAUGUGAAAGCCCACGGCUCAACCGUGGAGGGUCAUUGGAAACUGGAAUACUUGAGUGCAGAAGAGGAAAGUGGAAUUCCAUGUGUAGCGGUGAUAUGCGCAGAGAUAUGGAGGUACACCAGUGGCGAAGG
This 679-nucleotide ribosomal RNA is filed under the name uncultured Staphylococcus sp. Its description in RNAcentral is "bacterial SSU rRNA". It matches the Rfam family "Bacterial small subunit ribosomal RNA", at positions 60 to 721 of the family's 1533-position model. Lineage: Bacteria; Bacillati; Bacillota; Bacilli; Caryophanales; Staphylococcaceae. The record is from RNAcentral.